RNAcentral lists this ribosomal RNA (930 nucleotides) under Arthrobacter sp. FRC_V45. Its description in RNAcentral is "bacterial SSU rRNA". The stretch from base 99 to 930 matches the Rfam family "Bacterial small subunit ribosomal RNA", at positions 1 to 843 of the family's 1533-position model. The record is from RNAcentral. Lineage: Bacteria; Bacillati; Actinomycetota; Actinomycetes; Micrococcales; Micrococcaceae.
GUCGUCCCCACCUUCCUCCGAGUUGACCCCGGCAGUCUCCUAUGAGUCCCCGCCAUAACGCGCUGGCAACAUAGAACGAGGGUUGCGCUCGUUGCGGGACUUAAUAGAGUUUGAUUCCUGGCUCAGGAUGAACGCUGGCGGCGUGCUUAACACAUGCAAGUCGAACGAUGAUCCCAGCUUGCUGGGGGAUUAGUGGCGAAUCGGGUGAGUAACACGUGAGUAACCUGCCCUUGACUCUGGGAUAAGCCUGGGAAACUGGGUCUAAUACCGGAUACGACCAUCUGGCGCAUGUCAUGGUGGUGGAAAGCUUUUGUGGUUUUGGAUGGACUCGCGGCCUAUCAGCUUGUUGGUGGGGUAAUGGCCUACCAAGGCGACGACGGGUAGCCGGCCUGAGAGGGUGACCGGCCACACUGGGACUGAGACACGGCCCAGACUCCUACGGGAGGCAGCAGUGGGGAAUAUUGCACAAUGGGCGCAAGCCUGAUGCAGCGACGCCGCGUGAGGGAUGACGGCCUUCGGGUUGUAAACCUCUUUCAGUAGGGAAGAAGCGAAAGUGACGGUACCUGCAGAAGAAGCGCCGGCUAACUACGUGCCAGCAGCCGCGGUAAUACGUAGGGCGCAAGCGUUAUCCGGAAUUAUUGGGCGUAAAGAGCUCGUAGGCGGUUUGUCGCGUCUGCUGUGAAAGACCGGGGCUCAACUCCGGUUCUGCAGUGGGUACGGGCAGACUAGAGUGCAGUAGGGGAGACUGGAAUUCCUGGUGUAGCGGUGAAAUGCGCAGAUAUCAGGAGGAACACCGAUGGCGAAGGCAGGUCUCUGGGCUGUAACUGACGCUGAGGAGCGAAAGCAUGGGGAGCGAACAGGAUUAGAUACCCUGGUAGUCCAUGCCGUAAACGUUGGGCACUAGGUGUGGGGGACAUUCCACGUUUUCCG